GAGUUUGAUCAUGGCUCAGAUUGAACGCUGGCGGCAGGCCUAACACAUGCAAGUCGAGCGGUAGAGAGAAGCUUGCUUCUCUUGAGAGCGGCGGACGGGUGAGUAAUGCCUAGGAAUCUGCCUGGUAGUGGGGGAUAACGCUCGGAAACGGACGCUAAUACCGCAUACGUCCUACGGGAGAAAGCAGGGGACCUUCGGGCCUUGCGCUAUCAGAUGAGCCUAGGUCGGAUUAGCUAGUUGGUGAGGUAAUGGCUCACCAAGGCGACGAUCCGUAACUGGUCUGAGAGGAUGAUCAGUCACACUGGAACUGAGACACGGUCCAGACUCCUAACGGGAGGCAGCAGUGGGGAAUAUUGGACAAUGGGCGAAAGCCUGAUCCAGCCAUGCCGCGUGUGUGAAGAAGGUCUUCGGAUU
RNAcentral lists this ribosomal RNA (414 nucleotides) under uncultured bacterium. RNAcentral's name for it is "bacterial SSU rRNA". It matches the Rfam family "Bacterial small subunit ribosomal RNA", at positions 9 to 424 of the family's 1533-position model. The record is from RNAcentral.